Molecule: ribosomal RNA, 497 nt
Filed under: uncultured bacterium
Lineage: Bacteria
Description: partial 16S ribosomal RNA
Rfam family: Bacterial small subunit ribosomal RNA
Source: RNAcentral
GAUGAACGCUGGCGGCGUGCCUAAUACAUGCAAGUCGAGCGAACAGACUAUGUGCUUGCUCCCCUGACGUUAGCGGCUGACGGGUGAGUUACACGUGGAUAACCCACUUAUAAUAGUGGGAUAACUUCGGUAGACUGGAUAUAAUACCCGCUAAUACAUUCUCCCGCUUUGUUCAUUAGUGAAAUACGUUUUUGUUGUCAUUUUUUGAUGGACACCCGCCGUAUUUGCUAGUUCGUAAGGUAACGGCUUAUCACGGGAACCAUGCAUAGCCGACCUGAGAGGGUGAUCGGCGACACUGGAACUGAGACACGGUCCAGAGUCCUGCGGGAGGCAGCAGUAGGGAAUCUUCAGCAAUAGGCGAAAGCCUGACGGAGCAACGCCGCGUGAGUGAAGAAGGUCUUCGGUACGUAAAACACUGUUAUUAGGGAAGAACGAAUGUGUAAGUAACUAGAAAUGUCUGGACGGUACCUAAUCAGAAAGCCACGGAUAACUACGUG